AGGGAAAGGCUCCGGUCUGAGGUGGCAACUUUUCUCUUGUUUGAUCUAGUUAUGAAGUCGGAGGCAGUUUUAGGCAUUCAAGUCCAAUUCAAAGGUGGUGGUGAUGAUGCUGGUGGAGGAGGAGGAGGAGGCGGCCGGCAAGAUUCUACAGGAAGCCCAAAAUAGAGAUGGAGAGGACAUGCGAGGCAAAGUGCAAUUCCCAUGCCCUCUCUGCUUAUUUGCACUGGUGGGCAGAUUUUAUUCAGAGUAGGUAGUCUCAGAGAUACCUAGGAUCCAAGCCUGUAAAGAUUUAUUGGUAACUACUAGCCCUUUGAACUGGAAUCUACUGGCCAAUGCAUCACCUGCAACAGAGAUAUUACAAUUUCAAGGUGGACUUCUAGAGUAGCUUCAUAUAGAGCCAAUCUCAGUUAUCUAAGCAUGAUGUCACAGCGUUUAGGUAAACAUAGACAAUGCAUUUCAUUGGACUCAGCAGGCAGGUGCACCCAGUAGGUAACACCACUAAUUUUGCACGUAUAAGGAUGGAACAUUUUAUCACAUGUGGUGGCAAUGUCCUAAAGCAAGGAAAUACUGGGAACAGAUAAGGAGAUGGCUACAGGAGAUAACAGGAGAACAAAUUGAAUUUAAAGCUGAAUUAUUUUUAUUAGUAAUAAUUAAUCAAAAGAUAAAAAAGCAACUCCAAUAUAUUAUUGUACACAUAGUAACAGCAGCACGUAUUGUCUAUGUGCAAUGCUGGAAACUUGAAAAUAUACCAGCUAAUGAUAUUAGAAUGUGCCGAGAUGUAUAAGCUUACACUAGAAAUGAAAGGCAAGGAAGAAACAGAAUUUUAUGAGGUAUGGGAUAAAUGGUAUAAUUGGUUAGAACAAAGAAAUAAAAAUGUAUAGCAAUAAAUGUAAAUAACUGUAAGAGAUACAUGACAUAGUACUGUUAAAAAAAGAAAGAAAAAUGUUUUAUUUUGUAAAUUGGAAAAAUGAAAAAUAAAAAUUAUUUUUAAAAAUUGCA
Crotalus tigris (Tiger rattlesnake) is the source of this 999-nucleotide long non-coding RNA. RefSeq lists it as uncharacterized. The record is from RefSeq and is a predicted model, not a curated record. Lineage: Eukaryota; Metazoa; Chordata; Lepidosauria; Squamata; Viperidae. The transcript has 2 exons.